This 125-nucleotide ribosomal RNA is filed under the name Sordariomycetidae sp. Its description in RNAcentral is "partial small subunit ribosomal RNA". It matches the Rfam family "Eukaryotic small subunit ribosomal RNA", at positions 1657 to 1779 of the family's 1831-position model. The record is from RNAcentral. Lineage: Eukaryota; Fungi; Ascomycota; Sordariomycetes.
CCUUUGUACACACCGCCCGUCGCUACUACCGAUUGAAUGUUUUAGUGAGGCUUUCGGACUGGCCCAGAGAGGUCGGCAACGACCACUCAGGGCCGGAAAGUUAUCCAAACUCGGUCAUUUAGAGG